GAGCAUGUAGCUCAAUGGUAGAGCGUGUGCUUAGCAUGCACGAGGUCCUGGGUUCAAUCCCCAGUACCUCCA
This 72-nucleotide transfer RNA is filed under the name Camelus bactrianus (Bactrian camel). It matches the Rfam family "tRNA". Rfam says of the family: Transfer RNA (tRNA) molecules are approximately 80 nucleotides in length. Their secondary structure includes four short double-helical elements and three loops (D, anti-codon, and T loops). RNAcentral also lists the same sequence under 1 other name. The record is from Rfam by way of RNAcentral. Lineage: Eukaryota; Metazoa; Chordata; Mammalia; Artiodactyla; Camelidae.